RNAcentral lists this ribosomal RNA (468 nucleotides) under uncultured bacterium. Its description in RNAcentral is "partial 16S ribosomal RNA". It matches the Rfam family "Bacterial small subunit ribosomal RNA", at positions 28 to 507 of the family's 1533-position model. The record is from RNAcentral.
GACGAACGCUGGCGGCGUGCUUAACACAUGCAAGUCGAACGGAAAGGCCCUGCUUUUGUGGGGUGCUCGAGUGGCGAACGGGUGAGUAACACGUGAGUAACCUGCUCUUGACUUUGGGAUAACUUCAGGAAACUGGGGCUAAUACCGGAUAGGAGCUCCUGCUGCAUGGUGGGGGUUGGAAAGUUUCGGCGGUAGGGGAUGGACUCGCGGCUUAUCAGCUUGUUGGUGGGGUAGUGGCUUACCAAGGCUUUGACGGGUAGCCGGCCUGAGAGGGUGACCGGCCACAUUAGGACUAAGAGACGGCCCAGACUCCUACGGGAGGCAGCAGUGGGGAAUAUGGCACAAUGGGCGGAAGCCUGAUGCAGCAACGCCGCGUUCGUGAUGACGGCCUUCUGGUUGUAAACCGCUUUCGCCUGUGACGAAGCGUUAGUGACGGUAAUGGGUAAAGAAGCACCGGCUAACUACGUG